This 186-nucleotide ribosomal RNA is filed under the name Triticum aestivum (bread wheat). RNAcentral describes it as "partial small subunit ribosomal RNA". The record is from RNAcentral. Lineage: Eukaryota; Viridiplantae; Streptophyta; Magnoliopsida; Poales; Poaceae.
AUGGGCUUUCGUGAUAUGGAGGCGUUUAAUCAAGCUUUGCUUGCAAAGCAGGCAUGGAGGAUCCUACAAGUCCCCUCCUCUCUCUGCUCAAGGGUACUUAAGGCUAGAUAUUUCACUGAUGGUUCUAUUCUUAGCGCAACCUGUCUGAAUGGUGCCUCAUUCACUUUCAGAAGUAUCUUGUAUGGA